GCGCCCAUCGUCUAGCGGUUAGGACACCGCCCUUUCACGGCGGUAACAGGGGUUCGAUUCCCCUUGGGCGUACCA
This 75-nucleotide transfer RNA is filed under the name Mesorhizobium loti. RNAcentral describes it as "tRNA-Glu". It matches the Rfam family "tRNA". Rfam says of the family: Transfer RNA (tRNA) molecules are approximately 80 nucleotides in length. Lineage: Bacteria; Pseudomonadati; Pseudomonadota; Alphaproteobacteria; Hyphomicrobiales; Phyllobacteriaceae. RNAcentral also lists the same sequence under 690 other names. The record is from RNAcentral.